CCUACGGGUGGCUGCAGUGGGGAAUAUUGGACAAUGGGGGCAACCCUGAUCCAGCCAUGCCGCGUGUGUGAAGAAGGCCCUCGGGUUGUAAAGCACUUUCAGUGAGGAAGAACGCCUGGUGGUUAAUACCCAACAGGAAAGACAUCACUCACAGAAGAAGCACCGGCUAACUCCGUGCCAGCAGCCGCGGUAAUACGGAGGGUGCGAGCGUUAAUCGGAAUUACUGGGCGUAAAGCGCGCGUAGGUGGCUUGAUAAGCCGGUUGUGAAAGCCCCGGGCUCAACCUGGGAACGGCAUCCGGAACUGUCAAGCUAGAGUGCAGGAGAGGAAGGUAGAAUUCCCGGUGUAGCGGUGAAAUGCGUAGAGAUCGGGAGGAAUACCAGUGGCGAAGGCGGCCUUCUGGACUGACACUGACACUGAGGUGCGAAAGCGUGGGUAGCAAACAGGAUUAGAUACCCCGGUAGUC
RNAcentral lists this ribosomal RNA (465 nucleotides) under Vreelandella stevensii. Its description in RNAcentral is "partial 16S ribosomal RNA". It matches the Rfam family "Bacterial small subunit ribosomal RNA", at positions 338 to 795 of the family's 1533-position model. Lineage: Bacteria; Pseudomonadati; Pseudomonadota; Gammaproteobacteria; Oceanospirillales; Halomonadaceae. The record is from RNAcentral.